This 70-nucleotide transfer RNA is filed under the name Oryza meridionalis. It matches the Rfam family "tRNA". From Rfam's summary of the family: Transfer RNA (tRNA) molecules are approximately 80 nucleotides in length. Their secondary structure includes four short double-helical elements and three loops (D, anti-codon, and T loops). Lineage: Eukaryota; Viridiplantae; Streptophyta; Magnoliopsida; Poales; Poaceae. The record is from Rfam by way of RNAcentral.
GGGGACGUAUAUAUGGUAGGGCGCUCGCUUCGCAUGCGAGAGGCACGGGGUUCGAUUCCCCGCAUCUCCA